Molecule: long non-coding RNA, 532 nt
Organism: Macaca mulatta (Rhesus monkey)
Lineage: Eukaryota; Metazoa; Chordata; Mammalia; Primates; Cercopithecidae
Source: RefSeq, a predicted model, not a curated record
CCCAGCAGGACUUCAUUUCAAAUUACUCCUUGUGGACAAAGAGAAGAAAUGGAGCUUGAGAAGUUUCACUUGCUGCGAUAGGAAGACAUCUAGGCGUGCGUUGGGUGUGGCUUGAUUUCCUUUUACGGCUGCAGCCCCGUUUCUCAUCACCUGCCCCUCACAUUCUCUUUUCUGGCCUGUUCCGCAGUGGGCAGGUCUAUGCAAACCUACUCCCAAAGUCCGAGGAAGCCAAGAGGCUGAAGAAAGGAGCUGAUGUAUCCAGUUUCUCAGAAAGAAACAUGAAUAGGGACUUAGGAACAGGAGCCCGUCAGCGUCUCAGAUUUCCCUUCUCCAGAGGCAAAUGCAAUCCUGACAAUUAGUUAUUGACGGGACAAAUACAUCCUGCAGGCAAAGGCGACGUGGAGUUAUCGUUAUUUUGGACAGGGCCAAACUGAUAAGGGGGCUCUCUCCUCAGAAGACUGUCUCUGUGUUUGGAAGUUCACAGUCCACUCUAUGGGAUUAAACAGAAGGAGAAUAAAUUAUCCUUGCUUUA